RNAcentral lists this ribosomal RNA (407 nucleotides) under uncultured bacterium. RNAcentral describes it as "partial 16S ribosomal RNA". It matches the Rfam family "Bacterial small subunit ribosomal RNA", at positions 28 to 526 of the family's 1533-position model. The record is from RNAcentral.
GACGAACGCUGGCGGCGUGCCUAAUACAUGCAAGUAGGACGCAGUUGCGAACGGGUGAGUAACGCGUAGGUAACUGCCUAUUAGAGGGGGAUAACUAUUGGAAACGAUAGCUAAUACCGCAUACUAGUAGAUGGACCUGCGUUGUUUUAGCGAGUAGGUAGGGUAAUGGCAUACAUAGGCGACGCUACAUAGGCGACCUGCGAGGGUGAUCGGCCACACUGGGGCUGAGACACGGCCCAGACUCCUACGGGAGGCAGCAGUAGGGAAUCUUCUGCAAUGGGGGGAACCCUGACCUAGCAACGCCGCGUGAGUGAAGAAGGUUUUCGGAUCGUAAAGCUCUGUUGGUAAGGAAGCGGUACUUAACCAGAAAGGGACGGCUAACUACGUGCCAGCAGCCGCGGUAAUAC